This 72-nucleotide transfer RNA is filed under the name Candidatus Carsonella ruddii. RNAcentral describes it as "tRNA-Ala". It matches the Rfam family "tRNA". From Rfam's summary of the family: Transfer RNA (tRNA) molecules are approximately 80 nucleotides in length. Their secondary structure includes four short double-helical elements and three loops (D, anti-codon, and T loops). Lineage: Bacteria; Pseudomonadati; Pseudomonadota; Gammaproteobacteria; Oceanospirillales; Halomonadaceae. The record is from RNAcentral.
GGGGUUAUAAUUUAACUGGUAAAAUAUUUGCUUUGCAAGCAAAAAUAAAGGGUUCAAUUCCCUUUAACUCCA